Molecule: long non-coding RNA, 11421 nt
Organism: Oryctolagus cuniculus (rabbit)
Lineage: Eukaryota; Metazoa; Chordata; Mammalia; Lagomorpha; Leporidae
Source: RefSeq, a predicted model, not a curated record
GCGGGCCGGCGGAAGCGGCGAGCUCAGGGCGGAGCGCUGCGGCGGCGGCGGCGGCUGCGGAGGAGGCGCCGAAGGGCGCGGUCACGUGCGUUCGCUGCUCUCUGCUAUGGCCUGGGAAAGCAGUGGAAGAUGGCCCAAGUCCUUGGGCCCCUGCACCCACGUGGGAGACCCAGAAGAAGCUCUUGGCUCCUGGUUUCAGAUUGGCUUAGCUCCACCCAUUGCAGCCAUCUAUGGAGUGAACCAGCAGAUGGAAGACCUCUCUCUCUCUCUCUCUCUCUGCCUCUGCCUCUGCCUCUCUGCCUUUCAAAUAAAUAAAUACAUCAUAAAAAAGCUCUCUGCUGUGGCCUGGGAUAGCAGUAGAAGAUGGCCCAAGUCCUGGGGCUCCUGCACCCGCGUGGGAGACCCAGAAGCUCCUGGCUCCUGGCUUCAGAUCGGCACAGCUCCGGCCAUUGCGGCAUCUGGGGAGUGAACCAGCGGAUGGAAGAGCUCUCUCUCUCUCUCUGUCUCUACCUCUCUCUGUAACUCUGUCUUUCAAAUAAAUAAAAUAAACAUUUUUUAAAAAAGAAAUAUGUGCAUAUAUAUAACAUAGCAACACAAAAUACAAAGCACAAAUCUUCAGAAAGACAACUUUUAGAAAGUUAUAGUAAAAUACAUCACACAUCACUAUCAGACUGUGAAAGAAAGUAAACAAAAUUAGGAAUGGGUUGAACAGAAUUAACAUGGCAUAAAAAACGUAUUCUAGGGGCUGGCACUGAACUUAGUAGGUUAAGCAUCCACUGGAAGUGCCAGCAUCCCAUAUGUGUGCUGGUUCAUGUUCUGGCUGCUCCUCUUCCAGUCCAGCUCCCUGCUGAUGGCCUGGGAGCAGUAGAAGAUGGCCCAAGUGCUUGGGCCCUUGCACCCAUGUGAGAGAAGCUCCAGGCUCCUAGAUUCAGAUCGGCCCAGCUGCACAGCUGCAGCCAUUGUGGCCAUUUGGAGAAUGAACCAGUGGAUGGAAGAUCUCUCUUUCCCUCUCACUCUUUCUCUCUCUCUCUCUCUCUCUCUCUCUCUAUCUCUCCCCCCCCACCCGUCUGUAACUCUCCCUCUCAAGUAAAUAAAUCUUAAAAAAAAUAUUCUAAGUUCUGCACACACACAAAUAUAUAUAUAUACACACACACACACACACUAAGGGGUACUUGAAAAAUUUCAUGGAGGAGUCCGUGCUGUGGCAUAGUGGGUAAAGUCAUCAUCCCAUAUGGGUUAAGUUUGAGUCCUGGCUGCUCCAAUUCUGAUCCAGGUCCCUGCUAAUUUGCCUGGGAGAGCAGUGGAGAAUGGCCCAAGUCCUUGGAUCCCUGCACCCACAUGGGAGACUGGGAAAAAGCUCCUGGCUCCUGGUUUCAGUCUGGCACAUCUCUGGCAGUUGCAGCCAUUUAGGGAGUGAACCAGAGGAUGGAAGAUUCUCUCUCUGCCUUUCAAAUACAUAAAUAAAUAUUUUUUUAAAAGUUCAUGGAAAAUCCAAUUAAAGAAAUUUAUUUCAGUGCAAAGAAAUUUUUAAAUCCAUGCAUAAUCGUCUUGUAAUACAUACUUUUCAUGAACUUUUAAAAGACCUUCUUAUACAUAAACCCCCUCUCCAAAUAUCCCUGAAACAUUUACAAAAGCUUUUUGGGGGGCCAGUGUUGUGGCAUUAAAGGGUUAAGCUGCUGCCUGUGAUACUGACAUACCAUGUGGGUGCCAGUUCACGCCCUGGCUGCUCCACUUCUGAUCCAGCUCUCUGCUGUGGCCUGGGAGGACAGUAGAAGAUGGCCCAAGUCCUUGGGCUCCUGCACCCACGUGGGAGACCUGGAAGAAGCUCCUGGCUCCUGGCUUCAGAUCGGUUCAGCUCCACCCAUUGUGGCCAUUUGGGGAGUGAACCAUCGGAUGGAAGACCUGUCUCUCUGCCUCUCCUUCUCUGUGUAACUCUGACCUUCAAAUAAAUAAAUCUUUAAAAAAAAUACAACACUGCCCUGGAAUCACAGGCUGCAUUCAAAUCUCACUAUCUCAUGAGCUCUCUUACCUUCCUGGCCCACAUUGAAUCCUGGACCCUGUGUUCAUUUUUUGUUAUCUUUAUAGUCUUCUGAAGUCUGUAGCAUUUCCUUGUUCCAUCCUUCAUGACCAUUGUUUUUCUCUUCCUUAUUAAACUAUUUUUUUUAAAUUAGCAUAGUAAAAUUGACUUUAUAUUCCAAUUUUUUAAAUUAUUUGAAAAAUUGACAAAGUGGGAGAUGAUAUAGAUGGGGUGGGGGAGAGAGAGAGACAGAGAGAGAGACAGAGAGAAUGAGAGAUUUUCUAGCCACUAGUUCACUCCCUAAAUGACCACAAUGGCCAGGGCUGGACCAGGCCAAAGCCAGGAGCCAGGAACUCCAUCCUGGUCUCCCAUGUGGGUGGCAGGGGCCUAAGCACUUGAAACAUCAUGCAGUGUCUCCCAGGCACAUUAACAGGAAGCUGGAUUGGAAGUGGAGCAGCUGGGACUAGAACCAGCAUUUCUAUAUGGGAUGCAGGCAUCAGGAAUAGUGGCUUAACUCACCAUGCCACAACUCCAGCCCCUAUAAAUAUGUGUAGAUGUAUGUGUAAUCCCACCACAAGAAAGACAUACAACACUUCCUUCACUCCUCCAACCCAAAGAAUGUCCUGUGACAGAUGCAUUUGGGAGGACACUAAUAUUCAGGGCAGAACUUAAAAUACGCUACCUUUUCAGGCAGACUUCUUUGAUUUAGCACAAUGCCUUUCAGAUUCAUCAAAGGUGCUGCAUACAGCAACAAUGUGGUAUAACUAUUUAUAUACACACAUACAUUUUUAGAGAUUUAUUUAAAAGGUAGAGUGACAGAGACAGAGACUCUCCAUUCGCUGGUUCAUUCCCCCAAACAACCACAGUGGUCUGGUCUACACCAAAGCCAGGAGCUGGGAAUUCUAAUUGGGUCUCCAUGUAGGUGCUGGAGCCCAAGCACUAGGGCCGUCUUCCACUGCUUUCCCAGGUGCAUUAGCAGGGAGCUGGAUCAGAAGCUGAGCAUCUGGGACUCGAACUGGCACCCAUAUGGGAUGCCAGCAUCACAGUCCCUAAUGUUGAGAUAAAAAUUAUAUACUUUUUAAAAAAUAUUUAUGUAUUUAUUUGAAAGUCAGAGUUACACAGAGAGAGAAGGAAAGGCAGAGAGAGAGAGAGAGAGGUCUUCCAUUUGCCUGCUCGCUCCCCAGAUGACCGCAACGGCUGGAGCUGUGCCAAUCCGAAGCCAGGAACCAGGAGAUUCUUCCAGGUCUCCCAUGCUGGUGCAGGGGCCCAAGGACUUGGGCCAUCUUCCACUGCUUUCCCAGGCCAUAGCAGAGAGCUGGAUUGGAAGUGGAGCAGCCGGGACUCGAAUCGGCGCCCAUAUGGAAGACCCCUCUCUCUCUCUCUAACUCUUUCAAAUAAAUAAAUAUUAAAAAAAAAAAAAAGAGUGCCAGUUACUUUACACCCUGACCUGCACACAGCAGGGUCUUUUUGGUUUUUAUUUUUAAUUUCAGCUAUCCUGAAAAUGACAAAACAGAGGGGCAGGUGUUUAGCAUGGUGGUUACGAUAUUACGAGGGAUACCCACAUCCCCUCUUGAAGUCCCUGCUCUCCUUGCAAUCAAGUCUUCUGCCAGUGUCCACCCUGGGAGGCAGCAGAUGAUGGCUCCAGUACUGGGUUCCUCCUCAUGUUUUCUUCUGAGAGUUCGAUAGUCUUACAUGUGGAUCCAUUUUGCACACGAGGCUUAGGCUGAGGUUCAUUGUCUCGCCUACGGAGGCCCAUUGCUCCGGUACCCCGGGUCACAAAGACAAUCCUUUCUGCGCUCAAUUACUUUGGUGGCGUAAUAAAAGCUGCAGUCUGCAGGAGGUGACGUCAGGCAACACGACCGAAUCGGAAGCUCCAGGAAUCUGUCCAUGGAAACAACUGAACUGAUAGCAACUGCCUGGAGCAGUGAUUUUGGAACACUCUGGAAUCUGGCAACGGCCAGGGCAGAGCUGGGGAGAGAGGCAGGUCAAUGUCAAUGGAGCUCUUUUUUUUUUUUUUUAAAGAUUUAUUUAUUUGAGAGGCAGAAGUAAUCUUCUGUCCGCUGCCUCACUCUCCAAAUGGCCACAACAACCGGAGCUGGGACUGUCCAAAACCAGGAGCCAGGAGCUUCUUCCAGGUCUCCUACAUGGGUGCAGGGCCCCAAGCACUUGGACCAUCUUCCGCUGCUUUCCCGGCCAUAGCAGAGAGCUGGAUCAGGAAUGGAGCAGCCAGGUCUCGAACUGGUGCCUAUAUAGGCUGGCGGCUCUGCAGGCAGAGGAUUAACCUGCCACGCCACAACGCUCUCCCCUGGAGUUGCGUUUCUCACACAGCAGUGGCUGCCUUCCCUUAUCCACUGUGGCCAAAGGUUGUGGGGACUGCAAUCCCCACUCCGGUGAACAAGAAAAGCACCUGUCUUCCAAAAAUCAGGGUUUGAUCACCAACAGAUCAGCCCUCAUCUCAACACUCAUGGGUAGAAACAGUGUCCAGACCACAAGAGGAUUUAAAGAGAUAGGAUCGAUUCACUUUUCCCCUCUUGGGAGCCAUUCAUUUCAGUCUCAUCAAGUCACUGGCUGAGCCCAGAGAACAUGGAAGAGAUUUUUCACUGAAAAUACACCAGCUGGGGCAGGCGCUGUGGCGUAGCAGGUAAAGCCACCGCCCUCAGUGCUGGAGUCCCACACGGGAUCUGGUUUGAGUCCCGGCUGCUCCACUUCUGAUCCAGCUCUCUGCUAUGUCCUGGGAAAGCAGAAGAAGAUGGCCCAAGUCCUUGUGUCUCUACCCACAUGGGAGACCUGGAAGAAGCUCUUGGCUUCUGGCUUUGGAUAGGCACAGCUCCUGCCAUUGUGGCCAUCUGGGGAGUGAACCAGUGGAUGAAAGAUCUCUCUCUCUCUCUCUCUCUCUCUCUCUCUGUAACUCUACCUUUCAAAUAAAUAAAUCUUUUAAAAAAUUGAAAGGAAAAAGAUGCUAUUGGGACGCCUGUGUCCCACGGCAGAUAGCCCAGGCUGGGCUCUUGGCUCCAUCUCCUGUGACCAGCUUCCUGCUAAUUCCUGCCCUGGAAGGCACUGGUGAUGGUUCAAGUGGUUGGGAUCCUGCAUAGGACUGAAUUGAAAUCAGGAGCCUGGAAGUGCAUCCAGGUCUCCCAUGUCGGCGGCAGGGGCCCAAGCAUUGGGCCACCUUCCGUUGCUUUCCCAGACGCAUUAGGGGGGAGCUGAAUUGGAAGUGGAGCAGCUGGGACUUGAACUGGGUUGCUGGAGUCACAGGUGGCUACUUAACCUGCUGUGCCACCCAGACAGAGACAGAAACAGACAGUAAUCUUCCAUCUGCUGGUUUACUCCCCAUAUGCCCACAAUAGCCAGGGCUGGACCAGGCUGAAGCCAGGAGCCUGAAAUUCAACCUGAGUUUCCUACAUGUGUGGCAGGGACUCAAGUAUUUGAGCUCAUAUCCUGUCCCCCAAGGAUAUGUAUUAGUAGGAAGCUAGAGUCGACAUUCAAUUUUCUUCUCAUUUCAACAUAAAUUAAAAUAGAGCUGUAAAAGUACUGGGUGCCAAGGGGGCUCUGUCUCAGCCUGCAUCCAUGCGGAGACCCAGGCCAUGCGUGGCUGGCUGGAGGCCACAGACCCGAUGCUGUGUCCUUCCUAGAGUAUCACGUAGGCAGGCACAAGGUGAUGAGUUGCUGAUGGUGCUAACCACAGUCCCGGAGUCACCCUGUGUCCACCAGAUUUUUCCAUCCUGAAGCUGUUGUUGGCGUGAGUGUUUGGGCUCACAGUGAAGGCGCCUGCAUCCCCCUCUGAAAUGCCAGGGUUCCACUCCCAGCUCUGGCUCCUGACUCCAGUUUCCCACCAAGGCAGACUCUGGCAGGCAGCAUGAUCUCCCUGCCAUGUGGGAGACCUGGAUUGGGUUCUCAGCUCCUGGCCCUGCCCCAGCCUCAGCAAUGGUGGCCAUCUGGGGAGUGAACAAGCAGAUGGGAACUUUGUCUCUCUGCCUCUCAAAUAAAUAAUAAAAACUAUUCUAAAAAGAUACAAUGUUCUCUUUUGCACUGGAUUAAGUAGGAAGAUGCUUCAAAAGGUUUACGGAAAAUGGAAUUAAAAUUUAAAUUUUUGGCUGGCAUUGUGGCGUAGGUUAAGCCACCGUCUGCAGUGUGGGCAAUCCCACUUGGGCGCUGGUUUGAGUCCUGGCUGCUCCACUUCAGAUCCAGCUCCUAGCUAAUGUGCCUGGGAAAGCAGUGGAGGAUGGCCCAAGUGCUUGGGCCCCUACACCCACAUGGGAGACCUGGAAAAAAACUCCUGGCUCCUGGCUUCAGUGGCCACUUUGAGAGUGAACCAGAAGAUGGAAGAUUUCUCUUUCUCCCCUCUCUCUGUAACUCUGCCUUUCACAUAAGUAUAACAAGUGUUUUAAAAAAAAAAAGAAAAACAAAUUUAUGGGCUGGUACUGUGGCUCAGUGAGUUAAGCUAUUGUUUACAAUGUCAGCAUCUCAUACUGGAAUGCUGAUUUGAGUGCUACCUACUCCACUUCCUGCUAAUGUGUUUGGAAAGGCAGUGGAAGCUUGGGCCCCUGCUACCCAUGUGGGAGACCAGGAUGGAGUGCCUGGCUCCUGGCUUCAGCCUGGCCCAGACCUGGCCAUUUGGGGAGUGAACCAGUGAAUGGAAGAGUUCUCUGUCACUCUUUCAAAUAAACAAACCUUAAAAUAUAUGCAUGUGUGUAUCUCCCCAAAUGGAAAUCCAUGCAAGAUUUUUUCAUAAUAUGGAUAUCCCAUAAAAUUUUUAAGACCCUGCAUAUUCUGUGGAGGGAUCUUUGUGAAUAUGCCAAUGCUCCAGCUGUCCAUUUUAUUUACUUAUAAAAAUACAAAAAUAAAAUAAAUUUAUAAAGACACAUACGUGCGUGCGCACACACACACACACAUGCACACACACAGAGAAAGCUCCCAUCUGCUGAUUCACUCCCAAGAUGCCCACAGAAGCCAGGAGAGCUAGCCAAGUCUCCUCUGCGGGUGGCGGUAACUCAGCUCCCUGAGCCAUCACUGCUGCUUCGCUGGGUGCACACUGGGAGGAAGCCGGAGUUGGGAGGCGGAGGUGGUCUCUCCUCCUGAUGGGCACGGGGCAGGAGUGCGACAGAUUUUGUGGAAGCCAGUAUUUGAAAAUACUCCCUAGAUUUUGCAAUAUUCUGUUAUCAAACCUCCACCCAGCAGCCUGGGUUCCGAUGAAUCCACAGUUCUGCCGGGUCCAACCCACUGCCGUGACACCUCCCAAAUGGCGCUUUCUCGGUUGCGUCACCCCUUCUACAGCCACCGGGCGCCCUGCAGCGUGAGGGAGAGCUUUCUGCCUCUCCAGUCCGUAAGGACUCGUGGGUGUCUGUGUUUGUCUUUAUGUUGAUGCUCCAGCUGUCCCAGACUUGAUCAGUGACAGUCCCUUCAGGCUCCUGUGUGUGUGUGUGUGUGUGCCAAAGCAUUUAUGGAAAAUGCAGUAUCUUUCAGUUUUGUUUUCUCACACACACACACACAUAUGAAGAGUCUUCAAAGAAGCUCAUGGAUGGGCUGGCGCUGUGACAUAGUGGAUAUGGCUGCUGCCUGCAGUGCCAGCAUCCCAUCUGGGCGCCGGUUCGAGUCUCAGCUGCUCCACUUCUGAUCCACUCCUUGCUAAUGCACCUAGGAAAGCAGAAGAUGGCCCAAGUCCCUGGGCCCCUGCACCCACAUGGGAGACCUGGAGGAAGCUCCUGGCUCCUGGCUCCUGGCUCCUGGCUCCUGGCUUUGGAUCAGCACAACUCCGGCCGUUGCUGCCAACUGGGGAGUGAACCUGCAGAUGGAAGACCUCUCUCUCUCCCUCUGCCUCUCCUUCUCUCUGUGUAUAACUCUAACUUUCAAGUAAAAUAAAUAAAAUAUUAAAAAAAAAAAGACCUGGCUUCUCUACUUUUGAUCCAGCUCCCAACUAAUGUGCCCGGGAAAAAUGUGGACGAUGGCCCAAAUGCUGGGUCCUGUUGCCUGCAUGGGAGAUAGAGAUGCAGUUUCUGGUGCCUGGUUGCGGCCUGGCCCAGUCCUGGUUGCGGUGGGCAGUUGGGGAGUAAACCAGGGAUAGAAGAGCUCUGUCUUCCCUCUCUGUUGCUCUGCCUGUUCAAGUAAACAAAUAAAUCUUAAAAACAAACAGCUCCCAUUCACUGGUUCACUGCCCAGAUGCCCUCAACGGCCUGGGCUGAAGCUGGGAGCUGGGAGCUAAACCCAGGCCUCCCACAUGGUGGCAUGAACCCAGGUCCUUGAACCAUCAUCAUCGUCGCCAGCAGGAAUCAGGGGUCAAGAGUGGAGCCAAGUAUCGAACCCAAGGACUCUGAGGGCGGACAUGGGUGUUUUUAUUUCUAGGCCAAAUGCCAGCAAACUCUGUGCAGUGUCCACAUAUACAGAGAGGGGGAGGGAGAUGAGAGAGAGAGUGAAGUCACACCAGCAUCCUCAGUUCCUUGGGGCUCCAUCUAGCUUUCUCCUUGCUGCAUUUGCAAUUUCCCUCCCCAGCACUGAGAAGCCUGGCUUCCAUUACCCUCAAUAUAUUGGGCUCCAUUUUCCAACUACACCAGCUGCCUCCUUGGCUCCCAGCCUGUUGGCACCUCAGAAGGAAGAGAUGGCAGAGGGAGGGAGGUGAGGGGACAGGAGCAGGAGGUGGGUGAAAGUGCUGUGCAGCCUGGCCCUCCACCCUACCCUGACCUCCUUUCUGCUUGGUUCCGCCCACCACCCACCACUCACCAAGCCUUGCAGCCUCAAGCAGCCCUGGGCUCUCCCUGCCCCAGCCCCUUCUUGGGCACACUCAUUCCCUCAGCUUCUAAGAGGGCUUCCUGCCCUUUUUCCCUCCCUCCCUCCUUUUUGUUCUUUAAAAUUUAUUUAUUUAAACAGCAGAGUUACAGAAAGAAGGGGAAGAGACAAAGACAGAAAUCUUCCAUCUGCUGGUUCCCUCCCCAAAUGGCUGCAAUGCCAGAGCUGAGCCAGGAACUUCAUCUGGGUCUCAGGUGUGGGUGGCAGGGACCCAAGUCCUGGGGCCAUCAUCUGCUGCCUUCCCAGGUGCCUUAGCAGGGAGCUGCAUCAGAAGUGGAGCAGCAGGGCUGGUACUGUGGCAUAGCGGGGUUAAACUGCCACCUGUGGUGCCAUCAUCCCAUAUGGGUGCCAGUUUGAGUCCUGGCUGCUCUACUUCUGAUCCGGUUCCCUGCUAAUAUGCAUGGGAAAGCAGUAGAAGAUGGCCCAAGUGCUUGGGGCCCUGCAGCUCUACGGGAGACCUGGAAGAAGCUCCUGGCUUUGGCUCAGCUCAGCUCCAGCCGUUACGUUUGGGGAGUGAUCCAGUGGACAGAAGAUCUUUCUCUCUGUCUCUACCUCUCUGUCUAUAACUCUGCCUCCCAAAAUAAAUAAAAAAUAUUUUUUAAAAAGUUUAUUUAUUUACAUUUACUUAAAAGGCAAAGUGACAGAGAAAGAGAGAAAUUUCCCAUCUGCUGGUUCAAUUCCCCAAAUACCCACAACAACCAGAGGUAGGCCAGGCUGAAGCCAGGAGCCAGAAACCCCAUCCAGGUCUCCCAUGUGGGUGGCAGAGACCCAAUUACUUGGCCCGUCACCUGCUGCGGCCAGGGUGUGCAUUAGCAGGGAGCUGGGAUCUGAAGAGGGGGAGCCAGGAUUGAAACCAGCACUCAAUAUGAGAGAUGGGAGUGCCAAGUGGUGACUUCACCCCCUGUGCCAAAUGCCCCCACCCCAAUGUGUUAAGGAUGCCCGUGGAGGGCACGGGGAGGAAGGGGAGCCAUUUGGCAGUUUGAUAUUAUUUCUACCAUGUCAUCCCUGAGCUUAUAACACCCAAGUCUCAGAUGCUCAAAUCUUAGUAAAGGAAAAAAUAAAAAUAAAAAAAGAGGGUGGAGAGGUGCAUGGUGACCUCCACGGGAGCUCCAGGGGAGACAGGCCACACUUCUCCCUCCUGCAAACAACACUGCUGCAGCUCUGCGGCCCAGCAGUGGGGGGUCGGGGGUGGCCUUGGGUCCAGCAAGAGGGGCCAACCCCAAGGUCAGGUGUGUGCACUGCAUCCCAGAACCUCAGAGGUGGUGGAGGCAAGAGAAGAAAAAAAACAAAAACCAGCCACGGCUCCCCCCAGGCCUAACCCUGGGGAAGCUACCAUCAGCACGGAGGGGUGCCCAAGGCCAUGGAAGUUGGCAGAGCUGUGUUCCAGGCCAGGUCUUUGCCUUCUGCCCCUCUGGCUGCCUGCAGAUGGAGGAGUCCACCGUGGCCUUGCCCACCUUGGUGAAGCACGAGUUUCACCUGGUGGACGUGAUGGACUCACGUGGACACCACCUCGGGGGCAGGCCCUGGGCGCAGGACGGACAGACGAAGAGAAGGUGGCCCCUGUUUUGUUUAUUCCUCGGUUGUGGAGGCCGGGCAGUCAGGAGUGUGUGGCCGGCAUCCAGGGAGGGCUCCUCGUGAGCUUGGGUCCAGUGGGGAGCUGGAUCUGAAGUGGAGCAUCUGGGACUCAAGGUGGUGCUACCAUAUGGGAUGCCGGCAGCGCAAGCAGCAGCUUAACCCGCUGCGCCACUAGGCUGGCCCAUUUCGCUAUUAUGCUUGCUAGCUCAUCUCUGACAUCCAUAUUCUGUGUAUCGUUGGCUUCCUUUUUGUUUGUUUAUUUUUGGAAAUGGAAUAAAAGAUAAGUUGGGGGGGGCGGGUGCUGUGGAGUAGUUGGUAAAGCCUCUGCCUGCAGCACUGGCAUUCUAUAUGGGCACCGGUUCAAGACCUGGCUGCUCCUUUUCCAAUCCAGCUCCCCGCUAAUGCGCCUAGCAAAGCAGCAGAAGGCGGCCCAAGCCCUUGAGCCCCUGCACUCAUGUGGGAGACCCGGAAGAAGCUCUGGGCCCCUGGCUUUGGAUUGGCCCAGUUCUGGCUGUUUAGGCCAUUUGGGGAGUGAACCAGUGGAUGGAAGACCUCUCUCUCUGUUUCUCCCUUUGUCUGCCUGUAACUGCCUCUCAAAUAAUAAAUCUUUAAAAAGAAAAGAUAAGCUGGUUUUGGUGUAAAAAAUUGAAAUCCACAUAUAGUUUUUUAAGAAUACAUUUCUUCCAUGAUUUUUUUUUUUUUUUUGACAGACUGGACAGUGAGAGAGACAGAAAGAAAGGUCUUCCUUUGCCGUUGGUUCACCCUCCAAUGGCCGCCGCAGCCGGCGCGCUGCGGUUGGCGCACCGCGCUGAUCUGAUGGCAGGAGCCAGGAGCCAGGUGCUUUUCCUGGUCUCCCAUGGGGUGCAGGGCCCAAGCACUUGGGCCAUCCUCCACUGCACUCCCUGGCCACAGCAGAGGGCUGGCCUGGAAGAGGGGCAACCGGGACAGAAUCCGGCGCCCCGACUGGGACUAGAACCCGGUGUGCCGGCGCCGCUAGGCGGAGGAUUAGCCUAGUGAGCCGCGGCACCGGCCUCUUCCAUGAUUUUUUU